This is a long non-coding RNA of Leguminivora glycinivorella, 536 nucleotides long. RefSeq lists it as uncharacterized. The record is from RefSeq and is a predicted model, not a curated record. The transcript is spliced from 4 exons. Lineage: Eukaryota; Metazoa; Arthropoda; Insecta; Lepidoptera; Tortricidae.
UCUACGUGUUACUUCAGUGUAUGCGAGCGGUUGCAGAUACAACACGCUAAAGUGCUUGUGUUUAUUGUUAAAACAAUAAAAUAGGUUGCUUUGCUUUUUUAAAGAGAUAUGGAAGGCGACGCGAAUAAUGCAGUACGCGACCAAGUUGUUGCAGAAAUCGUCCAUAAUGAUAUCAGAAUAGGGCCUUUUCAGCGUGUGUUCGGCGCAGCGACCGGUACGGCGGUCGGCGCGGCCGUCGGCGGGAUGUCCGGCGGGCCGGCGGGCGCCGUUGUCGGCGGCGUCAUCGGCUACGUCGUCAGCCGUCAGACCGAGAGAGACGACCAUCAGGACUGACGAGCCGAACGCUGCAUACCUUUCUGCCAACAAUUUGUGGACACAUAACAUAGGGAAUUAACGAUACCUUAAAAUAAUAUAUACAUAAACAAGAUAAGACUCCGAUAAGUGAAUUUAUAUUUCUCUCUCUCAGCCAUAUUAAUAAUUAUAAAUGGUUCAGUAUGUAUUGAUAAAUUGAAGUUAAUCUACCUAUACCUACUGCC